GUGCUGAGAGAUGGUUUGGAUAUGUGGUAAAAAUGAAUGAGGAUCUAUGUUUUAACUGGGUGUGACAGAAAGAAAAGUGGACAAAGAAUUGAAUGGUGAAGUGUUACUCUAUGGUUUAGACAGGUUGGAAGAAUAAAUGAGGAAAUGAGUUCUGGUACAUGUGUGACAAGGGGAGUGGACUUCAGAAGAGUUGGAAGGGUGAACAAUGGUACCAAGACAGUUUGGACCUGUGAGAGUAUGAAUUAGGGUGAGUUUGUUAGUGUAUGAAAGCAUCACAAAGAGUACUGUAUAUAUCAGGGGGAAAAUCACCAUGGAAAUGGAUUAACAGAGUAGGUGAGUACUGUAGUGAGUUUGAUGGCAAGGGAUUGAUUGUGGAGAGAGGCAGUGCAUGAACAGUUAAAGUUAGUUUCUCUUCUGCUGCAGUGAGGGGCCGACUGUAAUAUCCUGAUGAAACAGAAUAAAUUUAUGGAAAAAAUGUAGAGAACAUCAGUCAGCUGGAUAAGAUACAUCUUGGGGCCCUCAUAAGUUUUCAAGAGGGAAUUAUUUUUCUUAAUUUUGAUUAGAAAGAGAAGCUUCACACAUGAGAACCCCUUCGUAUUAUUUUCUGAUAAAUGCAUGCAGUAAAAUUCAGUUAAAAUUAUAUAAUACUGAGAAUAUCUCCAAAUCUACUCUCCAGUCAUAAUGAGUUACUAUACUUUAGUGGCAUUGGGUUACUAUACUUUAGUGGCAUUGGGUUACUAUACUUUAGUGGCAUUGGGUUACUAUCCAAAGUGGCAAUAUAUUACUAUUUUUGUGGUUUGGGUCCAUUUGAUUCACUUAAAAUUAUGCUCUACCAUCACCUCCUUCACCUUCACAUUCAGUGAGUAGAAAGGCAAAGUCGUCAUGGGCAUUUCAUUCGAUGUAAUUUCACUUAGGUAGUUUAAAGGAGACCACCUAGUAAGGACCAUAAGGCCUGUGUGACCUGAAUAACUAUGUAAAUCCAUGUAGACAUACCUUGGAAAGCGUAACAGAAAAUGCAGAGUGUUAGUACCCAGGUAUCAUGGCUGGUUUGCUCUAUAUAAAAACUGGGUGCAGUUCUAUAUAUUUACCUUGGUCACUAAUCCUACUGAACUUGUUUUCUUUAUCUCCCUAAUAACAGUCUUGUUUAUCUUUUAAGACUAGCACUCUCCCCAACCAGACCCCUAAAACACUCCAGAAGAAAAAGAAGCUGUUAGUAGGUCAUAUGUAUACUACUUGGCAUAAUUUCAGCAGAAACCGAACUUAUACCGAACAAGAGAAUUUUAUGAGUCACACCUGUUUCGCCUAUUCCUUUCUACCACAGAGAAGAAUCAUUAAAUCUACCGCGCCUUCCAGUAGCUUCGUACCCUUCUUCUUCAUCUUCUUUUGACCUGUAACGCUUUGUCGCUUCUCAAUCUCAUGAUCAGUCCUUCGAUCCUCUCGGUCCUCUCAUCUGUUUAUUCACACACUUUGCUUUUUAAUGGUAUAGUACUUAACUUUCCUCUCUGUAAUCCCCAACGAAAUACCGAAAAAAAAAAAAAAAAAAAAGUCGCACCAGAAUUUUCAGCUUCGUGCCCUUCUUCAUCCUCUUUUGACCUGUAACGCUUAUAGGUCCUCCUCCUCUCGGUCCUCUCUUCUGUUUAUUCACACACUUUGCUUUUCAAUGGUACAGUAUUACUUAACUUUCUGAAUACAUUAUCGCACUAGGAAUAUUCAGCUUGGUGCCCUUCUUCAUCAUCUUCUUUUGACCUGUAACGCUUUGUACCGCUUCUCAUGAUCAGUUCUUCCCCUCUCGGUCUCUUCUGUUUAUUCACACUCUUUGCUUUUCAAUGGUUCUGUAUUACUUAACUUUCCUCUCUAUAAUACAAAAAAAAUUCAGCUUCGUGCUUUUUUUCAUUUUUUAUUAACCUGUAACGCUUCCUUCCCCUAGCUCUCGGUCCUCUCCUGUUUAUUCACACACUUUGCUUUUCAAUGGCACAGUAUUACUUAACUUUACUCUGCAAUACACUAUCGCACUAAAAUUUUCAGCUUCCAUUAAAAUUUUCAGCUUCGUGCCCUUCUUGUUCAUCUUCUUUUGACCUGUAACGCUUAGGUCCUUCUCCUCUCGGUCCUCUCUUCUGUUUAUUCACACACUUUGCUUUUUAAUGGUACAGUAUUACUUAACUCUGUAAUACACUAUCGCAGUAUAAUUUUCAGCUUGGUGCCCCCCGCGCCCCGCCGUCACCGACUCACCGUAUCGCUGUCUGCUUGUUGACACCCAGCUGGCGUCCCUCGAGCACCCUGAGAGCAGCAGCCCCAUUACCCGCACGACCCAAGCCUAGACCUGGUUUUGUGUGUCAAGGGAAGAGGGUGUAUAUUAUGGUCUGGUCCGAGGAAACAUUUACCGGCCCUGGAGAGCGUAAAGAGAGCGGGUGGCUGAUAGUUGUGCAGACUGCAGAGGACUCGCCGCCAACCGAGAUCCGUGAUUGUGAUUGGACUUUCUAGCCGUUCCUGAGCACCCCGCGACAAGUACAGUGUCCCCUCUGAGUCUUUUAUGACACCUACACCAAGUACAGUUCAUGAGCCCCCUACACGAACGAACACCCACCAUCACUGAAGACUGAAGAAAUCCCAACUGGCAUUUGACUCCUCUGCAGAACAUCCUGCCAUCACUGAAGAACUCUAUCACUCCCCUGCAGAACAUCCUGUCAUCACUGAAGACUGAAGAACUCCUUAUCACUCCCCUGCAGAACAUCCUGCCAUCACUGAAGACUGAAGAACUUCUCAUCACUCCCCUGCAGAACACCCCACCAUCACUGAAGACCCACCCAACACUCCCCUGCAGAACAACCCUCUGUAACUGAAUAUUGAAGAACCCCCACCAGUACCCCUGAAAACAUGUCACAGCCUUUAAUCAGCCACCCACCCACUCCCCUGCAAAACACUUCACAACCUCUGAUGAGCCACCCACCUGAUUACCAGCAAAAUGCUUCACAGUCUCUAAUGAGCCACCUGCCUGAUUACCAGCAAAAUACUUCACAGUCUCUAAUGAGCCACCCACCUGAUUACCAGCAAAAUACUUCACAGUCUCUAAUGAGCCACCCACCUGAUUACCAGCAAAAUGCUUCACAGUCUCUAAUGAGCCACCCACCCACUCCCCAGGAAAACACCUCUUCAUUAAUGGGCCACCCACCUGGUCCCAUGCAGAACACUUCACAACCCCUGAUGAGCCACCCACCCACUCCCCUGCAGAACACUUCACAGUUUCUGAUGAGCUAUGCACCCACUCCCUUACAGAACACUUCAUCCUUAAUGAGCCACCCAUCCGCUCACCAACAGAACACUUCAUCUUUAAUGGGCCACCCACCAACUCACCUGCAGAACACUUCACAAUCUCUGAUGAGCCACCUACCCACUCCCCUGCAGAACACUUCAUCCUAUAUGAGCCACCCACCUGCUCCCCAGGAUAACACUUCUUCUUUAAUGGGCCACUCACCUGCUUCCCUGCAGAACACUUCAUAUUCUCUGAUGAGCCACCCACCUGCUCCCAUGCAGAACUCUUCACAGUCUCUAAUGAGUCACCCACCUGCUCCCCUGGAUAACACUUCUUCUUUAAUGGGCUACCCACCUGGUCCCAUGCAGAACAUUUCACAAUCUCUCAUGAGCCACCCACUUGCCCACCUGCAGAACAAUUCAUAUUCUCUGAUGAGCCACCCACACAUUCCUAUGUAGAACACUUUAGUCUCUGAUGAGCCACACAGCCAAUCCACUCCUCUGCAGAACACGACACAAUCUCUAAUAGGCCACCCACCCACUUCCCUGCAAAACACUUCACCACCUAACAAGCCACCCACCCACUCCCCUGUAUAACACUUCACCACCUAACAAGCCACCCACCCACUCCCCUGCAAAACACUUCACCACCUAACAAGCCACCCACCCACUCCCCUGCAGAACACUUCACCACCUAACAAGCCACCCACCCACUCCCCUGUAUAACACUUCACCACCUAACAAGCCACCCACCCACUCCCCUGUAUAACACUUCACCACCUAACAAGCCACCCACCCACUCCCCUGUAUAACACUUCACCACCUAACAAGCCACCCACCCACCCACUCCCCUGCAAAACACUUCACCAUCUAACAAGCCACCCACCCACUCCCCUGCAAAACACUUCACCACCUAACAAGCCACCCACCCACUCCCCUGCAAAACACUUCACCAUCUAACAAGCUACCCACUUACUUCCCUGCAAAACACUUCACCAUCUAACAAGCUACCCACUUACUUCCCUGCAAAAUACUUCACCAUCUAACAAGCCACCCACCUACUCCCCUGCAAAACACUUCAUAGAAAGCCACCCACCUACUUCCCUGCAAAACACUUCACCAUCUAACAAGCCACCCACCUACUCCCCUACAGAACACUUGUCUCUGAUGAACAACCCACCCACAACCUUGCAGAAGACUUCAGGAUCUCUGAUGGCCCACCUACUUACCCCCAUCUCCUAUGUCCUGAUCUCUCACAGGAACUUGCCAUAAGGUGGCCACAGAAGAAGUUUCUCCAACUUUCCCUGUUCUGGCACUCCAUCUAAGAACAUUUGAUGCCUUGCCUGUCAUCUCCCACUCCAAUAAUCCUCUUCUCUAUAAAUUAAUUUCAUUGGUGGUUGCCCCCUGAAACUCUCAUCCACAACCCUGCUCCCACAUGCCCUCUUCACCAUCAUCUUUAGUUCCACACAAUCUUGUGAGUUAGAUGAAGAUCUACCUUUGAGCAUACACCAGCAUGUAAAGUUGUGAAACGGUUAAUAGGAGAUCAGCAGGUUAUUUAAAAUAUUGCUCCGUAUUUGAUCAAGAAUAAUCUUCCACCAAUUGCAUGCCAGCAUUUAAACUGAUUAAUAAGGAACCAACAGAUUAAUUCAACUGUUGUGUAGAAUAGCCAGUAUUGGCUAUACAUGCAGAGCCACACUCAGUCACCCAGAGAACUGUCAAAUUAUAAUGCUCUUCACAGUGAACUCAGUUCAAUUUUCUAUUUCAAGAUUCCAGAAUACAAGUUACUGUUUGGAGUCAAAUGUCCUAACACAGCACCUGCUAGUCAGGAAAAAUAUAUAUUUUUCAUUGCUCGCAGGUUUUGAGGUUUGUGUCUCUUUAUUAAGCACUGAGUGCCGAAUGCACGCGGGCCCGUAUCCACCUCAUGAACAGCAAAAGGCAACAUUAUAGGUUUCGUCUCCCGAAUAUUUCACUCAUGGCUGUAUUUUGCUUUCUAGCAUCUCUAGUAUAGUUGAAUUUGAUGACAGAUGGGUAUUAUUUAUCAAGGCAUGGUUAUUUCAACUUUUGAUCCUAAAAUAAGUAUUUUACGUAAAGCACACAGUGCUGUGGUAGGCAACACCAAAAUUGCAAAAAGUUGGUAAACAAAGGGUAAAGCAUCACCAUUGUGAACUAAUAGCCAGUACAGUCCACGAGAUGACGGUAAUCUUCUAGCAAAUAUAUACAGGCAGAGCAUUGUAUAAAACUGCAUUCUUUGAUAUUUUGCUUAUAUAUUUAACUUCUUAACUUUUGAUGAUGAAAAUAACUUUAUAGAAAACUGACCUUAUUUUCCAAAUGCUAUAACAUGUAAACCCAUAUUAAUCACCCAGUGAAAAUAUAUCUUUUACAUUUGAAAUUCAUUUUAAUUAACCCAGAAUUUCAUAAUGUUACUAUAAACAACAAGGACUGAAAACAUCUAUGGCUGAUAACAACAGAAAUACAACAAUGCUAAAAGAAGCGUGCACACACACACACACACACACUGGAUGAUCCUUCAAAUGGAAAACGAUAGGUAGAAACUGGCUAUUGCAUACGAUGUGUUUAUCAAAAGAUAAUUAUAUGAUUAAUAAGGUCAACCUUGUAAAUAAAUAUGCUCAAGGCAACUACAAAAUGAAAACUAGUUGAAGAAAUAUAUUAAGAUAAAAAUUAUAUCAGCUAUAGUGUAUGCACCCACCUUUACCUACCUUAAUCUUUUGAGAAUGACUAAACAUAGAACACAUAAUUAUUAACUUGGUAUAUGAAGGGAGGUCCUGCAAACUAGAGUAUGUAGUAUAUAAGGUGUAUGAAACUUUUGAUCAAAAUUAGCAAAAGCACUGCAUCACCAAUGGCAAAUGUACCUGUAAACUUUAGUUCUUGAGAAUAUAUGGUACCCAAUGUGUGUGUAUGUGUGUGUGUGUUUAAUUAUUUGUAGUUUAAAGUAUUUCAGCAGAGCUAGUAUUGUUCACUAUGCUUCUUUCCAUCUCUGCUUUAAAUUUAUGGAUGUUCUUAGCUCUAAUUAGUUCUGUAUCUAAGCUAUUCAAAAUAUCAAUGAUACUAUUGGGGAAGCCAAUCUUCUUUACA
Molecule: long non-coding RNA, 6342 nt
Organism: Eriocheir sinensis (Chinese mitten crab)
Lineage: Eukaryota; Metazoa; Arthropoda; Malacostraca; Decapoda; Varunidae
Exons: 2
Source: RefSeq, a predicted model, not a curated record